Molecule: ribosomal RNA, 780 nt
Filed under: Pseudomonas aeruginosa
Lineage: Bacteria; Pseudomonadati; Pseudomonadota; Gammaproteobacteria; Pseudomonadales; Pseudomonadaceae
Description: partial 23S ribosomal RNA
Rfam family: Bacterial large subunit ribosomal RNA
Source: RNAcentral
UGGACGCCAGUUCGCGUGGAGCCAUCCUUGAAAUACCACCCUGGCAUGCUUGAGGUUCUAACUCUGGUCCGUGAUCCGGAUCGAGGACAGUGUAUGGUGGGCAGUUUGACUGGGGCGGUCUCCUCCUAAAGAGUAACGGAGGAGUACGAAGGUGCGCUCAGACCGGUCGGAAAUCGGUCGCAGAGUAUAAAGGCAAAAGCGCGCUUGACUGCGAGACAGACACGUCGAGCAGGUACGAAAGUAGGUCUUAGUGAUCCGGUGGUUCUGUAUGGAAGGGCCAUCGCUCAACGGAUAAAAGGUACUCCGGGGAUAACAGGCUGAUACCGCCCAAGAGUUCAUAUCGACGGCGGUGUUUGGCACCUCGAUGUCGGCUCAUCACAUCCUGGGGCUGAAGCCGGUCCCAAGGGUAUGGCUGUUCGCCAUUUAAAGUGGUACGCGAGCUGGGUUUAGAACGUCGUGAGACAGUUCGGUCCCUAUCUGCCGUGGACGUUUGAGAUUUGAGAGGGGCUGCUCCUAGUACGAGAGGACCGGAGUGGACGAACCUCUGGUGUUCCGGUUGUCACGCCAGUGGCAUUGCCGGGUAGCUAUGUUCGGAAAAGAUAACCGCUGAAAGCAUCUAAGCGGGAAACUUGCCUCAAGAUGAGAUCUCACUGGGAACUUGAUUCCCCUGAAGGGCCGUCGAAGACUACGACGUUGAUAGGCUGGGUGUGUAAGCGUUGUGAGGCGUUGAGCUAACCAGUACUAAUUGCCCGUGAGGCUUGACCAUAUAACACCCAAACA